Molecule: non-coding RNA, 355 nt
Organism: Burkholderiales bacterium
Lineage: Bacteria; Pseudomonadati; Pseudomonadota; Betaproteobacteria; Burkholderiales
Source: Rfam
GAAGUUUGCUAGGCCGCCGCUGGCGCAAGUCCCGAAAGGGCGCGCUGGAGGAACGUCCGGACUGCAUAGGACAGCGUAGGAGCUAACGGCUCUCCACCGCGAGGUGAGGAUCAGAGCAACAGAGACGAGUCCCUUGGAACCAUCCGCUCCGGCGGCAGGAGCCUUGGGGGUGAAACGGGCAAUCUCUACGCGCAGCAACACCAAGUAGGCCAGCGUCGAUGUGGUUCCGCAGAGCUGGCGGGUAGGUGGCACCGAGCCAUCGGGUGAUCGAUGGCCAAGAUGAAUGGCGGUCACGUCGGGAACUUCGCAAGAGGCUUCCGACGCACAGAAUCCGGCGUAUCGGCAGACUUCACAA